CGCGGACUCUUCAGCAAUGUGCUGAAGGGGGACAGGAGGGAGGAAGGGAGGGUUGUGACAAAGGUGCAUUGUUGAGUUAGCCACACAAGAGGUUGUUCAAAGGGAGGGGCAUUCUGGGGAAGCUUAAUGGAAUGAACCUAAGAAGCAGACACUCUCAGCCUCAGAGAGAUCCCAGGUGAGCAGCAGCACUCCUACAUUACCUGAGUCCGCAUCCUGUUAGGUUACCUUGUGAGGAGUCCAGCCUGUCCAGAAAUAAUUCCUGGAGCUGUGACUGGACCAAGACAAUUCAAUAUGGUGCACAAGAGUUGUGUGCUAUCAGGAAAAGGAAUUAUUCCCACUUGGAGAUGAGUUUUAAAAGCUGACUUUGAUUUAGUAGAGUGAAGUGAAUACUGUGAUUACUUUUCAAAAUUUUAGCAGUAAACCAUCAAAACACCAAAGAGAUCAUUUUAUUAUUAUCAAUUUUACCAAGAUAUGCAGCUUUCUCAGGAAAGAACAAUACAUCUUGAAUCUAGAAAACAUAUUAUAGAUAUUGAGUUCAGUUAUGUACCAUCGAUAAGAGUAAGCCAGUUGUAAAAGGUGUUCAGUGAAACAGGCCUCAAUAUUUAGCAAAUUUAGCAUUUUAAAUAUGUGAAUGGGGGUGAGAGAAGCAGCUUAAAUAUAUACAAUAAAAUACAAUAUGUAUAUAUGUUGAUUUUGAAACACGUGAUUAUAAAUAGAGAGGGAUUGUAAGCUGGCACACCGUAUGCUCCCUGAGCGGUUAUUGAGGCAAUGAUAGCACAGCCAAGGGCUCAUUUUGAAAUGCUGAUUAUUACGCUAUGCCAGACAGAAGUGGGAAUCAAAAUGAUUUACUUGAAGAACUUUGACUGUAUGACCGUGAAAUCAUUUAUACACUGCUAAGUGAUUUGAAUACCCACGAAGUCUGUAAGUCCCAAGCUUGUUCCUUCACAUUUCCCUGCAUUGCUCCCACCAAAGCCAGAGAUUAUGUAAAAUAAUGAGUCUGGAAUUCAUAAGCAGAUAUUUCUAUGGGCUUCAAUCAUAAGGGCUGGUUAAAAGUUGCUAUCUUUUCAAUAGGGUCUUCCCAUCUGUUUUAAUUGCCCAUUGCUAUUAUACCAGAUUAACACAACUUUGAUGGUUUAAAACGACAGACAUUUACUUCCUCACGGCUCUGGAAGCCAGACAUCCAGAAUCGAGGUGUCAGCAGAGCUGUGCUUCCCGCUGAGGUUCUUGGAGAGCAUCCAUCCCUUGCCUUUCUAGCUUCUGGUGGCUGCUGACAUUUCUUGAUGCUUGUUCCUUGACUUGUGGGGUCUGUCACUGCAAUCUCUGCCUCUGUCGUCACAUCACCUUCCCAAAUACCCUCUACCUAUUUCUUAUAAGGACAUUUAUGAUGGCAUUUAGAGCCCAUCAGGAUAAUCCAGAAUUAUCUCUUCAUCUCAAUUAUCCUUAAUUUAUUCGCAUCUGCAAAGACCCCUUUUUCCAAGUAACAUGAAUAGGUUCAAGAGAUAGAACCUGAUGUCUUUGGGGCCACCUUUCAGCCCAUUAAACCAACCAUGAGUUAAUCUACUGAGACUAAUUAUCUACUUACUUAUGGCUGCUAUGGAAUAACAAUUGAAAAGGAAAUUCUGCUCCCCCCACACUUAUCCACAUCGCUGCCCUAGGAUUAACCACAAUUUGUUUCUAAGAUAGAGGUCAGCACACAUUUUAUGCAGUCCCAGAGAGUAAGAAUUUCAGAAUUCGUAGACCAUAUGGUCACUGUCACAACUAUUUAACUGCCUUUAUAGUGUGAAAGCAGAUAAACAAUAUGUAAAUGAAUGGAUUCCCAUAAAACUUUAUUUUCAAAAACAAGCAGUGAACUAGAUGUGGGCUGUGGAUGCGGUUUGCGGACUCUUGCAAGGUCUAGGCUUUUCUUGGAGAAAAUGAAAAUAUUUCUGUAUUUCAGGCUUUGUACCGAAAUUCCUUGUGCUUCAGAAUUGCCCUGAAAGAGGGAAGGGUGACUAUGUUGAAAUUGAGAUAGGAGGAAGGCACACUCUGGCAGGAGUGCAAGUGUGAGGGAGGCACCCCAAGUCUAGGGGAAAGAGAUGGGGCAGUUCUUGGAGUAUUCAGUUUCCCAUUGCUGCUGUAAGAAAGGACCACAAACUUACAGUUUAAAACUGCACAUUAAUUAUCAUAUAGUUCUGUAGGUUAGAAACCCAAGGUCUCACCAGUUUAAAAACAAGAUGUCACCAAGACUAUGCUCUUUCUGGAGGCUCUGGAGAAAAGUUCGUUCCCUUGCCUUCACCAGCUUCUAGAGGCUCCCCACAUUGUUUGGCUCAUAGUCCUCUUCCUCCAUCUUCAAAGCCAGCAGGAGCCGAUUGAAUCCUUCCAUCAGAUCACUCCAAUCUUCUUUUUGCCUCCCUCUUCCACUUUUAAAGACACUUGUGAUUACACUGGGCCCACUCAGAAAAUUCAGGAGAAUAUCCUUAAGUCAGUUGACUGGCCAUCUUAAUCAUUUCUGCAACCUUAAUUCUCCUUUUCCAGAUAAUGUAACAUAUUCCCAAGUUCUGGGAACUACAAUGUAACAUCUUUGGGGGACGAUUAUUCUGCCUACCACAAGGCACAUGCAGAACCUGCAUCUUACUCCAAGCAAAGCUCAGGCUGUGGCAAAACUUUGGAUGAGGGAUGAAUGUAGGGAUCAAAGAGGCUGAAAAACAAAUACUCUGGUUCUGAGAGCAAAUUUCUUGUGGCAAAGAGGACCAUGUGAAAAGACAUCUCUGGAACCCAAUCGGAACAUCUCUGCAGCUCUCAACAGAGCUGCCCAGCAUUCAAGUGAACAAAUCAAUGGUGGUCAUCAUGCACUAAGGACCAGGGACCUUUUCCAUUUUCACAGAAUAAUGUGCGCCCUAGCUUCUUAGAUGGAAGUAAAUAGUAGUUCUAAUAUUGACCAAUAUGCCCCAUCAAUCAGAUGGUUGAGAACUCAGAGCAGGUUAAAUUUGAUUAGAAAAAUGGAUGGAUAAGACAUUCUUAUUAUCUUGGGAUAACACUGGACUUUCUCAUACUCGUUACAUUAUCUUCCAAAGUAUAGCUGUUCAAUAAGUAGUUUCCUUUCUUCCUUCCUCUAACUUCCUAACGUUUCAACCUAGCUACUCAAAAGCCUUAAUAAGUUCAGCAAUUCUGAGUCUGGCAUUUAAGAUCCCCUGAACAAUAUCUGAUACAAUGCUACUUUUGCAAAGUUAUUACCAAAUAUUAACUUUUACAUUUCAUUCUUUCCAACAUAAUUACGUUUCGUGUUUCCUGUUAAUGAGUCGAUUUUGUGUGUGUGUGUGUGUGUGUGUGUGUGUGUGUGUGUGUGUUUUCAUGCCAUGAAAGGCUUUUUCCAUCCCAUCCUUACACCUCUAAAUCCUACGCAUAUUCAAUGUCAUUUGCAAAUGCUACUUUUUAACAGAAAUUCUUCCUUAAUCAUCCAAAAGGAAUUACUGGAGACCCCAAUGCUAUUUGCAUAAACCUUUAACUGCCAGACUCUCCUAGCAGUGUCAGUCCCAUGCCAUCAGAAAAUAGUAAGUAUUCUAGGAAAAGAUUUAGUACAGGGGCAGGUCAUACAGGUGUUUGAGAGCUGAAAGAACAACAGAAAACACUAAAGAUUACCCAGCCAUAACAUGCAAGCUACUACCCACAAAGCUUGAAGAAUGAAAAGGCAGAGGUUAAAUGACUAGAAUUUAGGAUCCCAGAGUAGGAACCUUGGUGAACUCAGAUCCCUGAGGAGGGGACAAUGCCUGCUUGCAGUUGGUACUUAAGGAAGGGAGCAAUUAACUAACUAAAAUUCAAAGAAGCUGGAGAUUGAAACCAGCCGCCAUUCAUAAGACAAACUGUUCCUACUGGGGUGAAAUGUCACUGCUGCAGCAAAUUGUCACUGCCAAGGUGAUGGCAGUAGGAACAGCAAAUAGGAAUGAGGAAGUCUUUCCUUCUUUCUUGUGUUCCCAUCAUCCUAGUGUUUCUUGGCAAAACCCAACAGGAAACCAGCUGGUAACUGAAUCUGAGAAAUACAGUUUUCUGUAUCUUACCCCAGAUUGGUAAGGCAGAAAUACAAAGGUGGAAUUGAAAUCAGACAGAGCAGGGCUUCUUGAAGACUAAUGAGGGAGAAACUGCAGUAACAAUUCUUUCAAUCCCUUUAAAUUUUACUUUAUAAAGAUUGACCACGUGGCCAACACAUUGGGUAGACCCAAUAAUAACUCUUCCCUUUCUACCAUGAAUCUUCCUUUGACAAUUACCCAUUUCCAUUAAUAGCACUUAUAAGGAUCUCCAGACACACAAACCAAAGAUCCUGGCAUCCACCAAUAUUUUCCUCUCUAUCACACAAUACUCAUCCACUACCAAAUCCUAUUUCCUUUUUAUCUCCAUCCUUAUUCCCAUUACUCAUUCCCCAUCACCUUAUAUUUGGGUGGCUGCAUAUUACCCAGCUGGUCUUGUUUCUUCCAAUUUCAACAAGUCUUUGUUGAAUAAGCACUAUGCAAACCAAUAUGGUAGUCCCAGAAAUAAUCGUAUCAGAAAGAUAAUACUCAUAUAUGUUUUUAAAUGACAGUCAAUGAUAUGUGAAUAUUUUGAGAUUCAGUGAAUGUUUUGGAAUUCAUAAGCAAGAGGAAGCAUUGAGAUGAAACAUAUCAGAGCAAAACAAGAGAUAGAUUUUGAGGAAUGGUUUAGACAGAGAAGACAGGAAAAAAAACUGAGGGGAGAGGACACACCAGACUGAAGGAGAAGGUAAAAAAAACCAAGAGGUAAAAAUGAUUAUGUUGAUAUUUGAAAGGACAAAAGGAGAUAGGACUAAUCAGACUUUAGGAUGCAUGAAGGAGGUAUCAGAAAGUCCUUGCUGGGAUGGUAGCUACUUUGUGAAUGGGUACAAAUAAGCCAUCUAGGACACAUAUCGAAGUUACCCCAGAAGCACCAAUAAAUACAUUCCUAUUUCAUAGAGUCUAACCAUGUCAGGUAGAUUACUAUCUCCUUUGUUCUGAGCGCUAUCCCUGACUCUGAGGUAACAGACCAAUACCAUUAGCUUCUUUAAUGUCCAAACCACUUUGCUUACUUCUAUUUACUCUAGUUUGCUUUACUAUUUAUUAAAGCCCCUGUGGCUCAGUAAGUUAAAGGAUCUUGUUUGUCACUGCUGUGACUCAGGUCGCUGCUAUACCAUGGGUGUGGCCAAAAACAAAACUGAAAAAAAACCAAAAAAACCACUAAGUAUUUCUAUAUCAACUUGGCUUAAAUAUUUUUUCUUUUUAAAAUAAAGUGAAUGUUUGAGUAUCAGGAUGCUUUUGUUAACAAAGAAGACUCCAGGGAGUUCCCAUUGUGGCUCAGUGUGAUAUGAACCUGACUAGUAUCCAUGAGGAUGUGGGCUUGAUUCCUGGCAUCGCUCAGUGGGCUAAGGAUCCAGCAUUGCCAUGAGCUGUGGUGUAGGUUGCAGACAUGGCUCGGAUCCUGAGUUGCUGUGGCUAUGGCAUAGGGUUGGAUCCCAUGCAGCUGUAGCUCCUAUUCAACCCCUAGCCUGGGAACAUCCAUAUGCUGCAGGUGCAGCCAUU
Molecule: long non-coding RNA, 5540 nt
Filed under: Sus scrofa (pig)
Lineage: Eukaryota; Metazoa; Chordata; Mammalia; Artiodactyla; Suidae
Description: lncRNA (ENSSSCG00000058597.1)
Source: RNAcentral